This 492-nucleotide ribosomal RNA is filed under the name uncultured bacterium. RNAcentral's name for it is "partial 16S ribosomal RNA". It matches the Rfam family "Bacterial small subunit ribosomal RNA", at positions 29 to 507 of the family's 1533-position model. The record is from RNAcentral.
AGUGAACGCUGGCGGUAGGCCUAACACAUGCCAGUCGAACGGCAGCACAGUAAGAGCUUGCUCUUACGGGUGGCGAGUGGCGGACGGGUGAGGAAUACAUCGGAAUCUACUUUUUCGUGGGGGAUAACGUAGGGAAACUUACGCUAAUACCGCAUACGACCUACGGGUGAAAGCAGGGGAUCUUCGGACCUUGCGCGAUUGAAUGAGCCGAUGUCGGAUUAGCUAGUUGGCGGGGUAAAGGCCCACCAAGGCGACGAUCCGUAGCUGGUCUGAGAGGAUGGUCAGCCACACUGGAACUGAGACAGGGUCCAGACUCCUACGGGAGGCAGCAGUGGGGAAUAUUGGACAAUGGGCGCAAGCCUGAUCCAGCCAUACCGCGUGGGUGAAGAAGGCCUUCGGGUUGUAAAGCCCUUUUGUUGGGAAAGAAAAGCAGCAGGUUAAUACCCCGCUGUUCUGACGGUACCCAAAGAAUAAGCACCGGCUAACUUCGUG